RNAcentral lists this transfer RNA (72 nucleotides) under Candidatus Azambacteria bacterium RIFCSPHIGHO2_01_FULL_51_74. Its description in RNAcentral is "tRNA-Arg". It matches the Rfam family "tRNA". From Rfam's summary of the family: Transfer RNA (tRNA) molecules are approximately 80 nucleotides in length. Their secondary structure includes four short double-helical elements and three loops (D, anti-codon, and T loops). RNAcentral also lists the same sequence under 2 other names. The record is from RNAcentral. Lineage: Bacteria; Candidatus Azamiibacteriota.
GCCCUCAUAGCUCAACGGAUAGAGCAGAUUCGUCCUAAGAAUAAGACGGGGGUCCAAUUCCCUCUGAGGGCA